ACGGGUCCUAUCCCCAUGUUGGCAGCUCUUCACUGCCUAUCGGUCCUGUCCCCAUGCUAUUCUCUGAAUAAAAGAGCACUAACACCAGACCUUGAGAGUCCAAGAAAUCUUUCUUUCGACUCCUCAGCUCGCCAAGCCUGCAUCACUUCUUCUGGUGGCCUGUAUGGGGAUCUUGCUUCACUGGCGUGUGAGCUGAAGUUCUGGACCAUGGGAACUUCUAAUUCCAUUCUGAAGAACUCACCUUUGAAUCGCCUUUUAAAUAACUGGGCAAAAUUUGAUCUACAAGAUCUAAAGGAAAAGAAACAUUUUUUACUGUAAUACUUUUUGGCCUCAACAUACUCUGAAUGAAGAAAAAUGGCCCAUGAAUGGCACUUUAAUUUUUUUUUUUUUAAAGAUUUUAUUUUUCCUUUUUCUCCCCAAAGGCCCCCGGUACAUAGCUGCAUAUUCUUCGUUGUGGGUCCUUCUAGUUGUGGCAUGUGGGACGCUGCCUCAGCGUGGUUUGAUGAGCAGUGCCAUGUCCGCGCCCAGGAUUCGAACCAACGAAACACUGGGCCGCUUGCAGCGGAGCGCGUGAACUUAACCACUCGGCCAUGGGGCCAGCCCCCAUGGCACCUUGAAUUUUAACACUAUUUCUCAACUAGACUUAUUUUACCACCGCCUGGAAAAAUGGUCUGAUAUCCCUUAUAUUCAAACAUUCAUGGCCCUAAGUCAAGAUUCUGAACUCAGAGCAGUUUGUUGCAUGUGUCUAGCUUCCCCCCCGCCCCGCUUCUGGGGUCCUUCUGCUUAUGGCAGGGCCAUCUGGGGUCCAAUAGGACCAUCUGGGUGCGCACUCAGAGUGGGAACAGUUGUAGGACUUUAUACCCUAAAUCUUGGAACUAGUUUGCUGGUGUACUGAGUUGGUUAUGAGGAUAGGAGACCUGUGAUUUAUUCUGUAAACUGUCCUGCCAGUGUUGUGUGCCCCAGCAUGAGAACUGUUGUGUGACACUUAUCUUGAUAACUCUUGGCAAGAGGCCAUGAGGGCAAGGCCUAAUCCCCACUUUUCCUUUCUUUGUAUUGUUCUUCACCUCCUCUGUUGUCAUCGAGUUGAGAUUAAGUUCAGGCUGGGCCUGAGCAGAACCCGGACCCUCUGUGAAAUCAAAAACUUGAAAACCUUUUGCCAGGGCCUUAACUCUCAACCCUGGAGCUGGGAGCCACAGCUCUCAGUCAGCUCCAGGCCUUUGCCUCCUGCUUCCCUGGCUCACCUUGUGCUGGCUCAGGAACUAAGUGCCCAGGCUGAGGGGGACUUGACUAAAUCUUAUAACUAUGUCAACACCAGCAGUUGGGCCCACUGUCAGUUGGACACCGGCUUUACCACUAUGGGGAACAGCCCAAGCAUCCCUGGAGACUCACCCCUCGGGUACAUUCUAACUAAUUGGAAACAGUUUCAAUUGGGUGGGUUAUGCCCCAGAAACUCCAUCUGGGGGAGUACUUGAGUGGUUUCUCUGUGCCUUUAUGAUGUAGUUGGACAGGAAGAUCAACCUAAAUGUCAUUUGAGUUACAACCCAGUUUCUGAGAAAUCAAGAGGAACUGUCCUUAGAAAAUCCUUGCAGGAUUGGAAAGCAGCUCUAGAGGCAGUUCAGAUUUCACCCAGUUCCUUUAUCUGAAAAAGGAUUAUCAUCUCUCCUCUGCAGGAAAUGUUAUCUAGCCCAUCACUAAUUCCUACGACUGAAUUAAAAAAAGGAAAAAGAAAAAAAAAAAUCCACAAGCAUGCCCUUGCCAAAAAAUCUAGUAUCUUAAAUGUCUUCUCCACAAAUAUUAGUAAAAAAGCUCAAAACAAAAUUUGGAUUCAUAACUGGUGAGCUUUAUAUUACUGUGCCUGAUUCGUGGCUGUAAUUUUUUAAAAAAUAGCUGUGGAGACCCUGUGUAUGUGUGUCUAUAUGUAUGUUUGAUAAGUAUUGUAUUUUCCCUCUGGAUGGUAUGGCCAAAAUUAAGAGGGCUGUUCAAUUGGAUUAAAGUGCUUACAUAAAUUCUAAUAUAAUAGAAAUUAACCCAUCUUUAAGUUAACAUGAUAAAGAUUAAUCUUUGGUAACUGAAAGUUUAUUUAAGUUUGAGUAAGUCUACCUAAAAGAUAGAAAAUCUAUGUUUGAUUAAAAUAAUUUCCUAUGUUCAGAAGGACUGAGGUCUCUCUAUUAAGAUUUUUUGACUGUGUUAACUGUUUGCUCCUGACUCUUUCUGUUGUCACUUUGAAUAGAUAACUGAGCGUUAUUUCCUAUUUGACCAAGUGUUUUAAAACCUUUUAAUAUUUUUGACAAGCUUCUCCCUCAAAAAAUAUUCAAAUCCUGAAUGAAGGCUUUCUUUUGAC
Equus caballus (horse) is the source of this 2341-nucleotide long non-coding RNA. The record is from Ensembl. Lineage: Eukaryota; Metazoa; Chordata; Mammalia; Perissodactyla; Equidae.